This is a non-coding RNA of Cucurbita pepo subsp. pepo (vegetable marrow), 415 nucleotides long. Lineage: Eukaryota; Viridiplantae; Streptophyta; Magnoliopsida; Cucurbitales; Cucurbitaceae. The record is from RefSeq and is a predicted model, not a curated record.
CAUAUUAUACUAGUUCACAUCAUCAUCAUCAUAGUACAUAAAGCAUAAAUGACACGUGCAAAGGCCACUGGGUGCAUGUCGUCAUACAUAAGGCAAGUCUUUCGACCGAGCCGAUAGUAAGAUCACUAACCCAAUUAACUUAAGCUGGUGUCACCAAUUUAUCAUUGAAAGUUCCAUUUUGUCAUUUGAAAUUCAAGUCAACCUUUGUGAGCCCAUAACAUCAAUUUCAAGUUCAAACUUUUGCAAAACUAUAUUAGCUAAGUUUUACGAUGGUUCAGGUGUUAGACUUCAUGUGGACAUUAGACACUUUUCAUGAUUAGAGUCUUGAAAUGUUUAUAUAUGUUUAUACAUACAUUUGUGUUUAAGGGAUAUAAAUGUGCCUAACAAUUUAAUACUUGUCUGAUCUUCCCUCUCA